CCCUUCGAUGUCCGGGGCUGCACGCGCGCUACACUGAAGGAAUCAGCGUGCUAAAACCAUUGUCGAAAGGCAUUGGUAAACCCAUUAAAAUCCUACGUGAUUGGGAUCGGGAAUUGCAAUUAUUUCCCUUGAACGAGGAAUUCCCAGUAAGUGUGGGUCAUAAGCUCGCGUUGAUUACGUCCCUGCCCUUUGUACACACCGCCCGUCGCUGCCCGGGACUGAGCCGUUUCGAGAAAAGCGGGGACUGCUGCUGUCGGGGCUUUCGGGCCUUGGCUUCGGUGGAAACCGCUUUAAUCGCAGUGGCUUGAACCGGGCAAAAGUCGUAACA
RNAcentral lists this ribosomal RNA (328 nucleotides) under uncultured eukaryote. Its description in RNAcentral is "partial 18S ribosomal RNA". It matches the Rfam family "Eukaryotic small subunit ribosomal RNA", at positions 1470 to 1796 of the family's 1831-position model. The record is from RNAcentral.